This 350-nucleotide long non-coding RNA is filed under the name Nilaparvata lugens (brown planthopper). Its description in RNAcentral is "uncharacterized LOC120348991". Lineage: Eukaryota; Metazoa; Arthropoda; Insecta; Hemiptera; Delphacidae. The record is from RNAcentral.
CCGGUUCCAUCCGUCGAUGACGUAUGAAUUUGUUUUGGCUCAGUUUUACUUGCGUCAAUCUGUUCAGCUUUUCUAUUGGAGUGGUCUUUGGCAGGCGCGUCGCUUGCGUCUAAAUUCUCUUCCCGGUGUCUCGGGGUCUCGACCAUGCCAUCAAAGAGUUCCUUCUUCCUGAAGGCAGUUGCCUCGCGCUUCUACCCUUUGCAGAGACGACGGAGUGACGCGUACCUCGGGGUCUGACGGAAAGACUGGAGAACGAAACAGAAAGGACACGAACGACAGGGUGUCAUAACAACAACAAUUGGGCAGGUAUAGUGGAUACGGGGGCCUAUCCCAUUCGCGGUCCGCGCCCC